GAUACCCUGCUGUGCUCGUGAAAGUCGUUUUGCGUUUUGAGCCAACACACAUAAAAACGGGGGCCGCUUCUUCAAGCUGGAAUGCGAUAGCCUUCGGGCAAGGCAAACCGCUGAGAAGGCCCCCACCUGAGAUAACAGGUUCAAAAUCUCGCGGCACACGGCACGGCGGGGACAGU
Molecule: non-coding RNA, 176 nt
Filed under: Chloroflexota bacterium
Lineage: Bacteria; Bacillati; Chloroflexota
Description: 6S RNA
Rfam family: 6S / SsrS RNA
About the family: E. coli 6S RNA was the first non coding RNA to be sequenced, but its function was unknown until recently. It consists of 184 nucleotides that fold into an extended hairpin structure with a large single-stranded internal bulge. The 6S RNA specifically associates with RNA polymerase holoenzyme containing the sigma70 specificity factor.
Source: RNAcentral